UACGUAGGGUGCAAGCGUUAAUCGGAAUUACUGGGCGUAAAGCGUGCGCAGGCGGUUAUGUAAGACAGGUGUGAAAUCCCCGGGCUUAACCUGGGAACUGCAUUUGUGACUGCAUAGCUAGAGUACGGUAGAGGGGGAUGGAAUUCCGCGUGUAGCAGUGAAAUGCGUAGAUACGCGGAGGAACACCGAUGGCGAAGGCAAUCCCCUGGACCUGUACUGACGCUCAUGCACGAAAGCGUGGGGAGCAAACAGG
Molecule: ribosomal RNA, 253 nt
Filed under: uncultured bacterium
Lineage: Bacteria
Description: partial 16S ribosomal RNA
Rfam family: Bacterial small subunit ribosomal RNA
Source: RNAcentral